RNAcentral lists this transfer RNA (70 nucleotides) under Pseudolysinimonas kribbensis. RNAcentral's name for it is "tRNA-Arg". Lineage: Bacteria; Bacillati; Actinomycetota; Actinomycetes; Micrococcales; Microbacteriaceae. The record is from RNAcentral.
GCCCUCGCCGACUGGACCGGCCCGCGUUUCCUAAGCGCGACAUCGGAGGUUCGAAUCCUCCCGAGGGCAC